AUAAUUUACCUUAGUCGCGAGGUUGUUUAAAUAAAACCAUGAAACAUCAAUAAGCUGAGUAUCGGCGAAAGAAAGGCUUAGCAAAAGAUUCGAAGAGUACUGUUAAGGAAUAACGUAAAUUUUAUUUUAGUAGCCUAAAACUGGUGUACUUUUUGCAUCACGGUUUAGCGAGAAAAUGUUGGAUUUCCAAGAUCUCGAAAGCUGUGUGAGCUAUUCUUUUUCGGGUUUUAGCUCUUACUCAAUCAAAAAUUCUAAGUGUAGCAGAACUUUAAUAAGAAAAAAGAAUAGAUAUGAGAUUUUAUUCGCACCAGCGAUAGCUAGUUUUUCCAGAAAAGCAUAAAAGUGCUGAAUCAAAAAAGAUUAGGAAUAAGAAUGUUCCUGAUUGUUUUUGUGUUUUAUACUCUUAAGGAUAAGCUUGAGAGUCCCCUAGAACAAGCAUAAAUAUUUAAAUCAGCUGUAUAGGCUUGAAAUUGGCCAUUACUAAAGAUCUGUUAUAAAGCAACCUAAAAGAUUAAAAAGAUUUUUGUGCNUUAGUUUUUAAGAAAAAUGGAAACAAGAAAUAAAAUCAAGAUAAUUAAGCUUAGUCUAUGCUAAAAUGAGUAUUAUACAAAGGAUAAAAAGAAUAAAGUUUUUAAGUAUUCUUUACAACUCAAUAAAAUUAAAACUAAAAAUAAAGUGGGGAAAAGGAACUCGGCNAACUUUAGCUCUGCCUGUUUAUCAAAAACAUGGCUCUUUGAAAAAUGAAUAUAGAGAGUCAGACCUGCCCAGUGAAAAAUUUUAACGGCCGCGGUACUCUGACCGUGCAAAGGUAGCAUAAUCAUUUGCCUUAUAAUUGAAGGCUAGUAUGAAUGGUUCGACAAGAGCACUGCUGUCUCUUCCCCAUUAAGUAGAAUUUAACUUUUAGGUGAAGAGGCCUAAAUAUAAUUGAAAGACAAGAAGACCCUGUCGAGCUUUAAGAUAACUUAGGAACUAUUAUAAUUUUAAAUCUAUAACUAAGCGCUUCUUUUAGUUGGGGCGACUAAGGAACAGAAAAAGCUUCCUUUUUUAGCAUAGCUUCUCGGCAAAGAUCCAGUAAGACUGAUCAAAAGAAUUAGUUACCGCAGGGAUAACAGCAUAAUCUCCUUUGAGAGACCUAAUCGAAAAGGGGGGUUGUGACCUCGAUGUUGGACUAGGAUAUCCUAAAGAUGCAGAAGUCUUUAAGGGUUGGUCUGNNCGGCC
This 1218-nucleotide ribosomal RNA is filed under the name Faunus ater. RNAcentral's name for it is "partial 16S ribosomal RNA". It matches the Rfam family "Bacterial large subunit ribosomal RNA", at positions 439 to 2586 of the family's 2925-position model. Lineage: Eukaryota; Metazoa; Mollusca; Gastropoda; Thiaridae. The record is from RNAcentral.